AUAUUCACUGCCUGUACUCCUAAAAUCUAUACUUCGAGUUACAUACGCUGUAGAUUUUACGUAAUGGAAAGAUAACAAAACUGUGAUUAAAACCACACACACGCAGAUAUAUUCUCUAUCACUCUGGACUAUCCUGGACAAGAUUGUUUGUUGAAAGUAAUUUGUCAACCUGCAAAAUAUGCUUUAAGCGAAAACGGUGUGCUCUUGGUGAUAUUCUCAAAAUCAUAUUCACACCUUUCACGUCGAGAAGCGAGGAGCUUCCAAAUGACAUCACGCAAGCUGAGCACGAGCAAAUUUGCGAUCAACGUUACGAAAACUGUUCCCUGAAUCCUUUAGAUUUAAUAAUAAAUAAUAGUAAUAAUAAGUCAUUACGUCGAUUAUUAAAAAUCUACACAAAAUUCGACACAAUAUUCGAUAAGUAUUGAAAA
Molecule: long non-coding RNA, 428 nt
Organism: Pseudomyrmex gracilis
Lineage: Eukaryota; Metazoa; Arthropoda; Insecta; Hymenoptera; Formicidae
Exons: 3
Source: RefSeq, a predicted model, not a curated record